UUCCGGUUGAUCCUGCCGGACCUGACUGCUAUCGGAUUGAUACUAAGCCAUGCGAGUCUUUGUAGUAAUACAAGGCAGACGGCUCAGUAACGCGUAGUCAACCUACCCUAUGGACGGGAAUAAUCUCGGGAAACUGAGCAUAAUACCCGGCGUACCACCAUUCCUGGAAUGGUUGGUGGUUAAAAUGAUUCGUCGCCGUAGGAUGGGACUGCGACCUAUCAGCUUGUUGGUGAGGUAAAGGCCCACCAAGGCGAUUACAGGUACGGGCUCUGAGAGGAGAAGCCCGGAGAUGGGUACUGAGACACGGACCCAGGCCCUAUGGGGCGCAGCAGGCGAGAAAACUUUGCAAUGUGCGAAAGCACGACAAGGUUAAUCCGAGUGAUUUCUGCUAAAGGAAUCUUUUGCCAGUUCUAAAAAUACUAGUGAAUAAGGGGUGGGCAAGUUCUGGUGUCAGCCGCCGCGGUAAAACCAGCACCUCAAGUGGUCAGGAGGAUUAUUGGGCCUAAAGCAUCCGUAGCCUGCUCUGUAAGUUUUCGGUUAAAUCUAUAUGCUCAACGUAUAGGCCGCCGAAAAUACUGCAGUGCUAGGAAGUGGGAGAGGUAGACGGUACUUGGUAGGAAGGGGUAAAAUCCUUUGAUCUAUCGAUGACCACCUGUGGCGAAGGCGGUCUACCAGAACACGUUCGACGGUGAGGGAUGAAAGCUGGGGGAGCAAACCGGAUUAGAUACCCGGGUAGUCCCAGCUGUAAACGAUGCAGACUAGAUGAUGCAUUGGCAUAUAGCCAGUGCAGUGUCUCAGGGAAGCCGUUAAGUCUGCCGCCUGGGAAGUACGUACGCAAGUAUGAAACUUAAAGGAAUUGGCGGGGGAGCACCACAAGGGGUGAAGCCUGCGGUUCAAUUGGAUUCAACGCCGGG
This 914-nucleotide ribosomal RNA is filed under the name uncultured marine archaeon. RNAcentral describes it as "bacterial SSU rRNA". It matches the Rfam family "Archaeal small subunit ribosomal RNA", at positions 1 to 922 of the family's 1478-position model. The record is from RNAcentral.